This 417-nucleotide ribosomal RNA is filed under the name uncultured bacterium. RNAcentral describes it as "bacterial SSU rRNA". It matches the Rfam family "Bacterial small subunit ribosomal RNA", at positions 917 to 1338 of the family's 1533-position model. The record is from RNAcentral.
GGGCCCGCACAAGCGGUGGAGCAUGUGGUUUAAUUCGAUGCAACGCGAAGAACCUUACCAGGGCUUGACAUACUACAGAUUCUUUUGAGAAAGAGAAGUGCCUUCGGGAAUGUAGAUACAGGUGGUGCAUGGCUGUCGUCAGCUCGUGUCGUGAGAUGUUGGGUUAAGUCCCGCAACGAGCGCAACCCUUAUUUUUAGUUACCAAUUCGUUGGGUUUUUUAGAAAGACUGCCGGUGACAAACCGGAGGAAGGUGAGGAUGACGUCAAGUCAGCAUGCCCCUUAUGUCCUGGGCUACACACGUGCUACAAUGGUUAAGACAAAGAGUUGCGAGCUCGUGAGAGUAAGCUAAUCUAUUAAACUUAGCCUAAGUUCAGAUUGUAGGCUGCAACUCGCCUGCAUGAAGUUGGAAUCGCUAG